AUGGCUGAUAAACUGGAGGAAGCUCUGAAGAAGAAGGAUCAAGACCUUGCAGAGGCGCUGAAGGAGGCCUCGAGCAAAACGAAGCUCGCAGAAGAGAAGCUGGCUUCGGUCGGGACUCUUGAAGAGGAGAACUCCAGACUGAAAGCUGCUCUUGAGACAGCUAAUCGAGAUGCCAGUCGACUGAAGAAGGAGAAGAUGGCUCUGCACGACAAGGCGGGCGAGCUGGCGGGGAAGGCAAAAGAUCUGGAGGCUUAUCUCGAAGGGCUCGCCAAGAAGCUGUUCGUCAUGCUCGAAGAAUUCUGCCAGAACUUCGAAGAGGAAACCGGUCGAGUGGAGCCAAGCUUGGAUCCCGCCAAUUCUCUCGUGAAGGACGAGGCUGCCAUGAACAUGCUCUGA
This 396-nucleotide ribosomal RNA is filed under the name Triticum aestivum (bread wheat). Its description in RNAcentral is "partial small subunit ribosomal RNA". Lineage: Eukaryota; Viridiplantae; Streptophyta; Magnoliopsida; Poales; Poaceae. The record is from RNAcentral.